UGCUGUCAAUUUCUCCCUUUAGGUCUGUUAGUAGUUCCUUUAUAUACUUUGGUGCUCCUAUGCUAGGUGCAUAUGUAUUAAUAAGUUGCAUAUAUGUUAAUCAG
Molecule: non-coding RNA, 104 nt
Organism: Ceratotherium simum simum (southern white rhinoceros)
Lineage: Eukaryota; Metazoa; Chordata; Mammalia; Perissodactyla; Rhinocerotidae
Source: RefSeq, a predicted model, not a curated record